AUUUAUGGAGAGUUUGAUCCUGGCUCAGGAUGAACGCUGGCGGCGUGCCUAAUACAUGCAAGUCGAGCGAACAGAUAAGGAGCUUGCUCCUUUGACGUUAGCGGCGGACGGGUGAGUAACACGUGGGUAACCUACCUAUAAGACUGGGAUAACUUCGGGAAACCGGAGCUAAUACCGGAUAACAUUUGGAACCGCAUGGUUCUAAAGUGAAAGAUGGUUUUGCUAUCACUUAUAGAUGGACCCGCGCCGUAUUAGCUAGUUGGUAAGGUAACGGCUUACCAAGGCGACGAUACGUAGCCGACCUGAGAGGGUGAUCGGCCACACUGGAACUGAGACACGGUCCAGACUCCUACGGGAGGCAGCAGUAGGGAAUCUUCCGCAA
Molecule: ribosomal RNA, 382 nt
Filed under: Salmonella enterica subsp. enterica serovar Kentucky
Lineage: Bacteria; Pseudomonadati; Pseudomonadota; Gammaproteobacteria; Enterobacterales; Enterobacteriaceae
Description: bacterial SSU rRNA
Rfam family: Bacterial small subunit ribosomal RNA
Source: RNAcentral